Molecule: long non-coding RNA, 1346 nt
Organism: Acanthopagrus latus (yellowfin seabream)
Lineage: Eukaryota; Metazoa; Chordata; Actinopteri; Spariformes; Sparidae
Exons: 2
Source: RefSeq, a predicted model, not a curated record
UCGGGGCUCAUUCACUCAGCUCAUGAAUUUGACUGUGUGGUGAGUCCAUCUGCAGAUGGUUGGAUUAAACUUACCGAAAAGACAGAUCUGACUUUACUCUUUUAUUGACAGAAAUUUCCACCACAAUUUUGGCGACGAGGAUGGGAUCACUUCUGUGAGAGAGCGCCUUAAACUCAGUGCAGACGGUUCAAAGGGUACCCGGGAGCUCGGACUCCAAAACCUCAACCUCGCCAUCAAAGGAGCAGAGACGUGAGGGCCUGACGCCUGAGACAAGGUGGCUCGCUCACAGCUGUGAUCUACAGAACCGUGUGGAAGCUGUCUUCUCGCUGACGAUGGAGAGGCGCACGACUGUGUUGCUAUCAUUAAUGAAGUUUGCUCCCCCAGAUCUGAUCUGCAGGAAGUGCCACUUCAGAAUGCAGACCUGGAACUGUUUGUGGAUGGCUCAGCAUCAAGGGACCCAGGGACAGGAAAGAACCAAACAGGGUUUGCAGUCACAACAUUACAUGACAUUGUUCUAGCUGAACCUCUCCCCUCAAACUAUUCCGCUCAAGCCGCAGAGCUUGUAGCCUUAACAAAAGCAUGCACAUUGGCAAAGGGGAAGUCUGUCAACAUUUUCACAGACAGUCGUUAUGCCUGGGGAGUUUGUCAUUCAUUUGGCCAAAUUUGGGCAAACAGAAAAUUCCUGACGGCUUCAGGAAAGCCAAUUGCACAUCACACAUUGGUUGCCUCCCUCCUCGAUGCUUUGCUGCUACCAAAACAAAUCGCUGUCUGUAAAUGUGAAGCUCACACUAACAAACCUGACCUCAUUUCACAGGGAAACGCCAGAGCAGACGCUGCUGCGAAGACAGCAGCUAAGCAGCGACUAACAAAACAAUGUGUUGUUAUCCCUGCCUCACCACUGACACCUUUCGCAGAUUUGCAGGACCUACAAGCGAAAGCCACUCCACAGGAGAAGGCCAACUGGAGACAAGCUGGUUGCGCUGUCAAAGAGAAUGUUUGGUAUGGUCCUAACAACAAACCGUGCUUGCCCAAAUAUCUUUUUCCUCACUAUGCUAAGUUGACACAUGGACGAGAUCAUGUGUCAAAAGGGGGAAUGAUGAGUGAGAUACAAAGAUAUUGGUUCACAAAGGGCUUCUCAGCCUUCUCCCAAACUUUUUGCAAAAGGUGUGUGAUCUGUGCCACAAACAAUGCAGGGGAGGUCUUCGGACGCAACAGGGCGCCCAUCCACCCCCUGAAAGACCAUUUGAUCAUUCACAAAUGGAUUUCACUGAACUAAUGCCUAGUGAGGGAAAGAAAUACUGUCUCGUGGUGGUUGACAUGUUUUCUAAGUGGGUGAAAGCCUUCCC